Molecule: ribosomal RNA, 765 nt
Filed under: uncultured Streptococcus sp.
Lineage: Bacteria; Bacillati; Bacillota; Bacilli; Lactobacillales; Streptococcaceae
Description: bacterial SSU rRNA
Rfam family: Bacterial small subunit ribosomal RNA
Source: RNAcentral
GAUGAACGCUGGCGGCGUGCCUAAUACAUGCAAGUAGAACGCUGAAGCUUGGUGCUUGCACCGAGCGGAUGAGUUGCGAACGGGUGAGUAACGCGUAGGUAACCUGCCUCUUAGCGGGGGAUAACUAUUGGAAACGAUAGCUAAUACCGCAUAAAAGACGAUAUCGCAUGAUAUUGAUUUGAAAGAUGCAAUUGCAUCACUAAGAGAUGGACCUGCGUUGUAUUAGCUAGUUGGUGAGGUAACGGCUCACCAAGGCGACGAUACAUAGCCGACCUGAGAGGGUGAUCGGCCACACUGGGACUGAGACACGGCCCAGACUCCUACGGGAGGCAGCAGUAGGGAAUCUUCGGCAAUGGGGGCAACCCUGACCGAGCAACGCCGCGUGAGUGAAGAAGGUUUUCGGAUCGUAAAGCUCUGUUGUAAGAGAAGAACGAGUGUGAGAGUGGAAAGUUCACACUGUGACGGUAACUUACCAGAAAGGGACGGCUAACUACGUGCCAGCAGCCGCGGUAAUACGUAGGUCCCGAGCGUUAUCCGGAUUUAUUGGGCGUAAAGCGAGCGCAGGCGGUUAGAUAAGUCUGAAGUUAAAGGCUGUGGCUUAACCAUAGUACGCUUUGGAAACUGUUUAACUUGAGUGCAGAAGGGGAGAGUGGAAUUCCAUGUGUAGCGGUGAAAUGCGUAGAUAUAUGGAGGAACACCGGUGGCGAAAGCGGCUCUCUGGUCUGUAACUGACGCUGAGGCUCGAAAGCGUGGGGAGCAAACAGG